GACGUAGGGCGCGAGCGUUGUCCGGAUUUAUUGGGCGUAAAGAGCUCGUAGGCGGCUUGUCGUGUCGUCUGUGAAAUCCCGCGGCUCAACCGCGGGUCUGCAGUCGAUACGGGCAGGCUAGAGUUCGGUAGGGGAGACUGGAAUUCCUGGUGUAGCGGUGAAAUGCGCAGAUAUCUGGAGGAACACCGGUGGCGAAGGCGGCAUCCUGGACCGACACUGACACUGAGGAGCGAAAGCCAGGGGAGCAAACGGG
Molecule: ribosomal RNA, 253 nt
Filed under: uncultured bacterium
Lineage: Bacteria
Description: partial 16S ribosomal RNA
Rfam family: Bacterial small subunit ribosomal RNA
Source: RNAcentral